UUAAGCGACUAAGCGUACACGGUGGAUGCCCUGGCAGUCAGAGGCGAUGAAGGACGUGCUAAUCUGCGAAAAGCGUCGGUAAGGUGAUAUGAACCGUUAUAGCCGGCGAUGUCCGAAUGGGGAAACCCAGUGUGAUUCGUCACACUAUCGUUAACUGAAUACAUAGGUUAACGAGGCGAACCGGGGGAACUGAAACAUCUAAGUACCCCGAGGAAAAGAAAUCAACCGAGAUUCCCCCAGUAGCGGCGAGCGAACGGGGAGCAGCCCAGAGUCUGAAUCAGCUUGUGUGUUAGUGGAACGGUCUGGAAAGUCCGACGGUACAGGGUGAUAGUCCCGUACACCAAAAUGCACAGGUUGUGAACUCGAAGAGUAGGGCGGGACACGUGGUAUCCUGUCUGAAUAUGGGGGGACCAUCCUCCAAGGCUAAAUACUCCUGACUGACCGAUAGUGAACCAGUACCGUGAGGGAAAGGCGAAAAGAACCCCGGCGAGGGGAGUGAAAAAGAACCUGAAACCGUGUACGUACAAGCAGUGGGAGCACCUUCGGGUGUGACUGCGUACCUUUGUAUAAUGGGUCAGCGACUUAUAUUCUGUAGCAAGGUUAACCGUAUAGGGGAGCCGCAGGGAAACCGAGUCUUAACUGGGCGUUAAGUUGCAGGGUAUAGACCCGAAACCCGGUGAUCAGCCAUGGGCAGGUUGAAGGUUGGGUAACACUAACUGGAGGACCGAACCGACUAAUGUUGAAAAAUUAGCGGAUGACUUGUGGCUGGGGGUGAAAGGCCAAUCAAACCGGGAGAUAGCUGGUUCUCCCCGAAAGCUAUUUAGGUAGCGCCUCGUGAAUUCAUCUUCGGGGGUAGAGCACUGUUUCGGCUAGGGGGUCAUCCCGACUUACCAACCCGAUGCAAACUACGAAUACCGAAGAAUGUUAUCACGGGAGACACACGGCGGGUGCUAACGUCCGUCGUGAAGAGGGAAACAACCCAGACCGCCAGCUAAGGUCCCAAAGUCAUGGUUAAGUGGGAAACGAUGUGGGAAGGCACAGACAGCCAGGAUGUUGGCUUAGAAGCAGCCAUCAUUUAAAGAAAGCGUAAUAGCUCACUGGUCGAGUCGGCCUGCGCGGAAGAUGUAACGGGGCUAAACCAUGCACCGAAGCUGCGGCAGCAACACGAUGUGUUGUUGGGUAGGGGAGCGUUCUGUAAGCCUGCGAAGGUGACCUGUGAGGGUUGCUGGAGGUAUCAGAAGUGCGAAUGCUGACAUAAGUAACGAUAAAGCGGGUGAAAAGCCCGCUCGCCGGAAGACCAAGGGUUCCUGUCCAACGUUAAUCGGGGCAGGGUGAGUCGACCCCUAAGGCGAGGCCGAAAGGCGUAGUCGAUGGGAAACAGGUUAAUAUUCCUGUACUUGGUGUUACUGCGAAGGGGGGACGGAGAAGGCUAUGUUAGCCGGGCGACGGUUGUCCCGGUUUAAGCAUGUAGGCUGAUUAUCCAGGCAAAUCCGGAUAAUCAAGGCUGAGGUGUGAUGACGAGGCACUACGGUGCUGAAGUAACAAAUGCCCUGCUUCCAGGAAAAGCCUCUAAGCAUCAGGUAACAUCAAAUCGUACCCCAAACCGACACAGGUGGUCAGGUAGAGAAUACCAAGGCGCUUGAGAGAACUCGGGUGAAGGAACUAGGCAAAAUGGUGCCGUAACUUCGGGAGAAGGCACGCUGGUGUGUAGGUGAAGUCCCUGCGGAUGGAGCUGAGACCAGUCGAAGAUACCAGCUGGCUGCAACUGUUUAUUAAAAACACAGCACUGUGCAAACACGAAAGUGGACGUAUACGGUGUGACGCCUGCCCGGUGCCGGAAGGUUAAUUGAUGGGGUUAUCCGUAAGGAGAAGCUCUUGAUCGAAGCCCCGGUAAACGGCGGCCGUAACUAUAACGGUCCUAAGGUAGCGAAAUUCCUUGUCGGGUAAGUUCCGACCUGCACGAAUGGCGUAAUGAUGGCCAGGCUGUCUCCACCCGAGACUCAGUGAAAUUGAACUCGCUGUGAAGAUGCAGUGUACCCGCGGCAAGACGGAAAGACCCCGUGAACCUUUACUAUAGCUUGACACUGAACAUUGAGCCUUGAUGUGUAGGAUAGGUGGGAGGCUUUGAAGCGUGGACGCCAGUCUGCGUGGAGCCAACCUUGAAAUACCACCCUUUAAUGUUUGAUGUUCUAACGUGGGCCCCUAAUCGGGGUUGCGGACAGUGUCUGGUGGGUAGUUUGACUGGGGCGGUCUCCUCCCAAAGCGUAACGGAGGAGCACGAAGGUUAGCUAAUCCUGGUCGGACAUCAGGAGGUUAGUGCAAUGGCAUAAGCUAGCUUGACUGCGAGCGUGACGGCGCGAGCAGGUGCGAAAGCAGGUCAUAGUGAUCCGGUGGUUCUGAAUGGAAGGGCCAUCGCUCAACGGAUAAAAGGUACUCCGGGGAUAACAGGCUGAUACCGCCCAAGAGUUCAUAUCGACGGCGGUGUUUGGCACCUCGAUGUCGGCUCAUCACAUCCUGGGGCUGAAGUAGGUCCCAAGGGUAUGGCUGUUCGCCAUUUAAAGUGGUACGCGAGCUGGGUUUAGAACGUCGUGAGACAGUUCGGUCCCUAUCUGCCGUGGGCGCUGGAGAAUUGAGGGGGGCUGCUCCUAGUACGAGAGGACCGGAGUGGACGCAUCACUGGUGUUCGGGUUGUCAUGCCAAUGGCACUGCCCGGUAGCUAAAUGCGGAAGAGAUAAGUGCUGAAAGCAUCUAAGCACGAAACUUGCCCCGAGAUGAGUUCUCCCUGAGACUAUAAGUCUCCUGAAGGAACGUUGAAGACGACGACGUUGAUAGGCCGGGUGUGUAAGCGCAGCGAUGCGUUGAGCUAACCGGUACUAAUGAACCGUGAGGCUUAACCU
Molecule: ribosomal RNA, 2897 nt
Filed under: Klebsiella pneumoniae
Lineage: Bacteria; Pseudomonadati; Pseudomonadota; Gammaproteobacteria; Enterobacterales; Enterobacteriaceae
Description: bacterial LSU rRNA
Rfam family: Bacterial large subunit ribosomal RNA
Source: RNAcentral